Vespa mandarinia (Asian giant hornet) is the source of this 1751-nucleotide unclassified non-coding RNA. The record is from RefSeq and is a predicted model, not a curated record. NCBI's taxonomy places the organism in Eukaryota, Metazoa, Arthropoda, Insecta, Hymenoptera, Vespidae.
UAUAUUAUUACAAGUCAUUUGUGUAUACUUGCGGAAGGUCAGAACAUUUCGCAAAGGAAAGAGAAACUCGUAUAUUCAUAAUAUAAUGGUUGAUACACGUAGAUACGAAAUCAAGUCGUAUUUAAUCUGCGUUUGGGAUAAAACUCAUGAAUUUCAUUUUAUUUAAUUACUACGAUGUAUAAAAAGGCAAAUAAAGUGAUUAGUACUCCCAUUGAAAGUGAAUUUCCAAAUAGUUCAUUGUCAAUUUCGGACAUAAAGGAAAACUCGUCGGACGGUGUAAAGCAAGUAAAUACAACUGGUAUUAAGAGAAUUGCAUCUAAUAAUAUUAUUAACAAGAAGAAAAUCAAAUGUAAACGAAAAGUUAGAAAAUUGUAUAAGAGAGUUGCGGAUUAUAAUAAAAAAGGAAGAAAAUUAAUCGUAUCGGAAACCUCCGAUAGCGAAUGGGAAAUAAGAUCUACAGAUACUAAUUCGAAUAAAAAAGAUUUAUCGAAAUUAUUACAAACGAAAGAUACAAAUAUACAAGAUCAACAAGAAAUUCCAUAUAAAUUAUACGAAACUCCGGAACGUAUACGUGAUGCUAAAUAUGACGAUCAUAAUGAUUUCUUACUCUCACCAACUUUAUUCUCUCUAAGAUCAAAUAAUAAUUUUCCGAUUAAAGAUAUCGUCGAUAAAGAAGAUGAUCUAGUGUUUUUGGAUCAAGAUAAAGAAGAAAUUGAUCAUAUCUCUCCUAUUUUCGUGAGAUCGAAUCAUGUUAAGACGUAUCCAUCGAAGAGGCAAAAAACAUCGACGAAAAAAUUAUUAGAAAAUAAAGAAAAUGGAAAUUGGCUCCUAGAUGUUCGAAUACCAACGAAUAGUGCCGAUUUAUUAUGGGAUAAAUAUAUAAAAGAGCAUUCCGAUGAAUUCUCUCAACAUUUUCGAUCUAGCGAUAUCCAUAAGACUGAUACAGAAAAGAUUGAUACACAAAGUGACACUGUAUUAUAUUUUUUGUUUUUUGUAAUGGCGAACUCUAUUUAUGUAAUCUUCGUUCAUAUAAAUCAAGGAAUCAGUAUAUAUAUACUCUACAAUAGAAGAACAUUACUUUAUCUUCUUAAACACAGAUUUCAGCGACAUUUUGAAUAUGCUUGAUGGACAGAGAUUGAAAUUAUUGAAAUCCAAAGAAUUGUCUAGAAUCAAGGGAAGUUUCAAUAAAAGAACAGUUCAAGUGAUAGUACGGAUUGUGAAAUACAAAAAAAAAAUGGUAAAUUAAUAUCAUUUAACAAAUUUAACACGAAGCUUAAAAUGAAUAAAUUUAAUUAUAAGAGAUCUCUUUCGUCUCGAAAUAAAAACGACGUAUGUGCUUGCUUAUCUUCGUUGUCCACAAUGUCAAAAGACAAUCCUAAAGUUAAAAUUAAAUCGAUGGUAUCUUUAAAAUCCAUACAUUACAAAAAACAAUCAAGCGGUAAUUAUUAUAUUACGACUAUGGAGUCUUCAUCACCGUAAAAUCAAAAUUUAUUUAUAUUUAUUUCUCUUUAUCUGUUCUACUUAUUAUUUAUAUUUCUUUAUUUAUGUUUCCUUAUUAUUUUAUUAUACUUAUAUACAUUAAAUGUAUCACAAGUAUCGUAAUAUAUCAAAUAAUGCCUGUAUGUCAUUGAAUCGAGGAAGAUUAUGUUUAUUGUAUUUGGAAAAAUAAUAUAAAUUCUAAUUUAUAUUUUGCUUGCUUUGAAUCAUGUAUCAAAUUAUUAUAUUUUCAAUCAUGUCAAUUGAAGCAUGUA